AACGAACGCUGGCGGCAUGCCUAACACAUGCAAGUCGAACGAGACCUUCGGGUCUAGUGGCGCACGGGUGCGUAACGCGUGGGAACCUGCCCUUAGGUUCGGAAUAACUCCCCGAAAGGGGUGCUAAUACCGGAUAAUGUCUUCGGACCAACGAUUUAUCGCCUUUGGAUGGGCCCGCGUUGGAUUAGCUAGUUGGUAGGGUAAAAGCCUACCAAGGCGACGAUGCAUAGCUGGUCUGGGAGGAUGAUCAGCCACACUGGGACUGAGACACGGCCCAGACUCCUACGGGAGGGAGCAGUGGGGAAUAUUGGACAAUGGGCGAAAGCCUGAUCAAGCAAUGCCGCGUGAGUGAUGAAGGCCGUAGGGUUGUAAAGCUCUUUUACCCGGGAUGAUAAUGACAGUACCGGGAGAAUAAGCUCCGGCUAACUCCGUG
RNAcentral lists this ribosomal RNA (433 nucleotides) under uncultured bacterium. Its description in RNAcentral is "partial 16S ribosomal RNA". It matches the Rfam family "Bacterial small subunit ribosomal RNA", at positions 29 to 507 of the family's 1533-position model. The record is from RNAcentral.